GUGCUUGCUUUGGCAGCACAUACACUAAGAUUGGAAUGAGACAGAGAUCAGUGCAGCCCCAUGUAAAGGUGACCUGCAAAUUCAUGAAGUAUCCCAUGUCUUU
Molecule: small nuclear RNA, 103 nt
Filed under: Octodon degus (degu)
Lineage: Eukaryota; Metazoa; Chordata; Mammalia; Rodentia; Octodontidae
Source: RNAcentral